AUUGAACGCUGGCGGCGUGCCUAACACAUGCAAGUCGAGCGGUAACGCGGGGGCAACCCUGGCGACGAGCGGCGGACGGGUGAGUAAUGCUUGGGAAUCUACCCAGUAGUGGGGAAUAACCAGUCGAAAGAUUGGCUAAUUCCGCAUACGCCUCCUCUUCAUACCGAGGAGAAGGGAAAGUCGGGGGGACCGUAAGGCCUCGCGCUAUCGGAUGAGCCCAAGUCGGAUUAGCUAGUUGGUAGGGAACGGCCUACCAAGGCGACAAUCCGUAGCUGGUCUGAGAGGACGACCAGCCACACUGGGACUGAGACACGGGCCCAGACUCCUACGGGAGGCAGCAGUGGGGAAUAGUUGGACAAUGGGGGCAACCCUGAUCCAGCGACGCCGCGUGUGUGAAGAAGGCCUGCGGGGUU
This 413-nucleotide ribosomal RNA is filed under the name uncultured bacterium. RNAcentral's name for it is "bacterial SSU rRNA". It matches the Rfam family "Bacterial small subunit ribosomal RNA", at positions 29 to 425 of the family's 1533-position model. The record is from RNAcentral.